AGUCGUAACAAGGUUUCCGUAGGUGAACCUGCGGAAGGAUCAUUAGAGGAGGAAUGUAAUGAUUUAUUAUUAUUACUGGUUAGGGUGAGGAUGAGGGUGAAGUGGGUUGAUAUGGUGUAUAUACAUGGAUUGAACAAAUUCAUGCAUGCGCAUCAAAACAUAGCAUCAUGUAGCUCUCACCCUUACCUUAACCAGCAGAUUAUUCAACAUUUACAAGAUAUAAAAUUACAUGAGCACCUUGCUGCAAUGGAUCUCUCGGCUCUUGCAUCGAAGAAGAACGCAGUCCAUUGCGAAAAGUCAUGCGACCUGCACUUUUUGAGAAGCAUUACUCUUUGAACGCACCUUGCGCGUGGAAGACGACUUUCACGAGGUCCUGUUUGAGCAAGAAUACAAAAGUAGUACAUGAUCCUUGGAGCGAUUCGAGGAUUCAAAAAUAUGCAGAUGGCCCGAACGACUCUAGGGCAUGACGGAAGCAAGUGGGAUCGAUAUUGCGUUCAAGCAUCACAAUGUCAUCCAUACAAGAGUCCAUCUACUGCAAGAUUGAAGAUGCAUGCUAAACCAUGCCACUUCAUCCACAUACAUUCACUUCUCAAAUCAGGAUAGAGGACCCGCUGAACUUAAGCAUAUCAGUAAGCGGAGGAAAAGAAACUAACGAGGAUUCCCCCAGUAACGGCGAGUGAAGCGGGAACAGCCCAUGGUUGAAGGAGGCAUAAUUUUGCAUUCGUUGUACCGUGGAGAGAGGUUGAAGGGUUUCAGUUUGCAUGCAAGUUCCCUGGAACGGGACGGCAGAGAGGGUUAGACCCCCGUGACAUGCAAGCGGAAAUUGGACAAGUUCUCAUGGAGUCGGAUUGUUUGGGAAUGCAAUCCCAAUUGGGUGGUACGCGCCAUCUAAGGCUAAACAAGGGCAAGAGACCGAUAGCAAACAAGUACCGUGAGGGAAAGAUGAAAAGGACUCUGAAGAGAGAGUCAAAAGUGCGUGAAAUUGCAGCAAGGGAAACGAACGAUUCGCAUAUGGAGCUUGAUGUUAGGGGUAGCUUGAGGAUGCUGGAGGUGGAGACAUUCGCGUGUCUAACAUAGAGCAGGAUCGACAAGCAGGAGCAACAUUGGGUAUUGGCGGAGUGUUCGACC
RNAcentral lists this ribosomal RNA (1128 nucleotides) under uncultured fungus. Its description in RNAcentral is "eukaryotic LSU rRNA". The stretch from base 585 to 1128 matches the Rfam family "Eukaryotic large subunit ribosomal RNA", at positions 1 to 649 of the family's 3401-position model. Lineage: Eukaryota; Fungi. The record is from RNAcentral.